Molecule: small RNA, 31 nt
Filed under: Bombyx mori (domestic silkworm)
Lineage: Eukaryota; Metazoa; Arthropoda; Insecta; Lepidoptera; Bombycidae
Description: ovarian small RNA-27681
Source: RNAcentral
UCCUAAGUCCUUCCUCCGAUCGUGGAGAAUC